AGGUGACCGUGUGGCUUUUGGGGAGGGGGGUUCUUCUUUCUUUCUGUAUAUUCAUUUGAUUUUUGCCCUUUUCUCCCCCUCCCCCGCCUCCCCUCCCUCGGAAUAAAAUAUGAUGUAGAUUUCUGACCGAGCGCUUCCAAUGGACAUUCUCCAGUCUCUCUGGAAAGAUUCUCGCUAAUGGAUUUCCUGCUGCUCGGUCUCUGUCUAUACUGGCUGCUGAGGAGGCCCUCGGGGGUGGUCUUGUGUCUGCUGGGGGCCUGCUUUCAGAUGCUGCCCGCCGCCCCCAGCGGGUGCCCGCAGCUGUGCCGGUGCGAGGGGCGGCUGCUGUACUGCGAGGCGCUCAACCUCACCGAGGCGCCCCACAACCUGUCCGGCCUGCUGGGCUUGUCGCUGCGCUACAACAGCCUCUCGGAGCUGCGCGCCGACCAGUUCACGGGGUUAAUGCAGCUCACGUGGCUCUAUCUGGAUCACAAUCACAUCUGCUCGGUGCAGGGGGACGCCUUUCAGAAACUGCGCCGAGUUAAGGAACUCACGCUGAGUUCCAACCAGAUCACCCAACUGGCCAACACCACCUUCCGGCCCAUGCCCAACCUGCGAAGCGUGGACCUCUCAUACAACAAGCUGCAGGCGCUCGCGCCCGACCUCUUCCACGGGCUGCGGAAGCUCACUACGCUGCACAUGCGGGCCAACGCCAUCCAAUUUGUGCCCGUGCGCAUCUUCCAGGACUGCCGCAGCCUCAAGUUUCUCGACAUAGGAUACAAUCAGCUCAAGAGCCUGGCGCGCAACUCUUUCGCCGGCUUGUUCAAGCUCACCGAGCUGCACCUGGAGCACAACGACUUGGUCAAGGUGAACUUCGCCCACUUCCCGCGCCUCAUCUCCCUGCACUCGCUCUGCCUGAGGAGGAACAAGGUGGCCAUUGUGGUCAGCUCGCUGGACUGGGUUUGGAAUCUGGAGAAAAUGGACCUGUCGGGCAACGAGAUUGAGUACAUGGAACCCCAUGUGUUUGAGACCGUGCCGCACCUGCAGUCCCUGCAGCUGGACUCCAACCGCCUCACCUACAUCGAGCCCCGCAUCCUCAACUCCUGGAAGUCCCUUACGAGCAUUACCCUAGCCGGGAACCUGUGGGACUGCGGGCGCAACGUGUGUGCCCUGGCGUCCUGGCUCAGCAGCUUCCAGGGGCGCUACGACGGCAGCUUGCAGUGCGCCAGCCCUGAGUACGCCCAGGGCGAGGACGUCCUGGACGCCGUGUACGCCUUCCACCUGUGCGAGGAUGGGGCCGAGCCCACGAGCGGCCACCUCCUCUCUGCCGUCACCAACCGCAGUGAUCUGGGGCCCCCCGACAGCUCGGCCACCACGCUCGCGGACGGCGGGGAGGGGCAGCACGACGGCACGCCCGAGCCCACCACAGUGGCUCUCCCAGGCAGCGAGCACGCGGAGAAUGCCGUGCAGAUCCACAAAGUGGUCACGGGCACCAUGGCCCUCAUCUUCUCCUUCCUCAUCGUGGUCCUGGUGCUCUACGUGUCCUGGAAGUGUUUCCCAGCCAGUCUCAGGCAGCUCAGACAGUGCUUUGUCACGCAGCGCAGGAAGCAGAAGCAGAAACAGACCAUGCAUCAGAUGGCUGCCAUGUCUGCCCAGGAAUACUAUGUUGAUUACAAACCGAACCACAUUGAGGGCGCCCUGGUGAUCAUCAAUGAGUAUGGCUCAUGCACCUGCCACCAGCAGCCCGCGAGGGAAUGCGAGGUGUGAUUGUCUCAGUGGCUCUCAACCCAUGCGCUACCAAAUACUCCUGGGCAGCCGGGCGGGCCGGCGGGCACCAGGCUGGGGUCCCCUUGUCUGUGCUCUGAUAUGAUCCUUGACUGAAACUGUACGGGGAUCUCUCCCAGAGACUUGACAUUUUAGCUUUAUUGUGUCUUAAAAACAAAAACGAAAUAAAACACAACAAACAAAACCCCACCCCACAACCUUCAGGACAGUCUAUCUUAAAUUUCAUAUGAGAAAUCCUUCCUCCCUUUGAAGAUCUGCCCAUAUUCAGGAAUCUGAGAGUGUAAAAAAAAAAGAUCCCAUACCCAGUCUGCUUUCUCUGAGCGUACCUCUCCCCAGCAGCGUAUAACUUUUUGAUGUUCUGAGAGAUUAAACGAGACUUCUGGAACAAAAUUCUUACUUGAUUGAGUGAACAUCACUUAUUCCAUCCUCACCAUCAAAAGGGCACGCACUGCUCUUUGAGCCUUCAAUUGCUGGCUCCAGCUAUGUUUUAUAUCUGUCUCUGUGAGAUAGCGUUCUUGGACCUAACAGACAAGCAGCCCUCAGUUUCAAAAAUAUUCAGCUACAUAUCCAGGACCAAGCAGCUUGCUGGGUUCCCCUGUUUAUCCUGGGCCACCAAACCCAAAGAAAUGGGAUGAAGGCUGAUGUGAUUGAAGACAGAAUCCGUUUUUGUUUUUAUGUUCUACCAAGCCCAGCUUCUGAUAAAAAAAAAAAAAAAAAAAAAAAAAAAAAAAGGGAGAAGAAGAAGAAGAAUCCUGCUUCAAGCUCCCUUCAAGCUCCCUGCCAGGCUCCCUUCCUCCCUUUCUUGUCGAAGCACUCCACCAUCUGUGCAGACUGCAUAACAGCAAUUUCUGGAAACAGGCUGAAGAAUUUGGGCCAGUCCAGAGGCAGUGGAUUUCUGCUGUCUGGGAGGUGCAGUUCUAGAGAUUUUAUUUUUCACCUUAAUUCUUUUAACUACUGCCAGUUCUUUGAAGCACAUCUGUUACCAACAGCUUCUGUUUGUAAAGCAGAACUGAAGGUACCCUCUCCAGAGAAAUUCUUGAAUCUUCUCUGUAGUUCAGUGCUUGCGUUAACAGCUUGGCUCACAAAGUAUGACUGCGGUAAAUAUUAAAGAAUGUUAAUAAAAAUGAGAUAAAACACC
Molecule: RNA transcript, 2902 nt
Organism: Cavia porcellus (domestic guinea pig)
Lineage: Eukaryota; Metazoa; Chordata; Mammalia; Rodentia; Caviidae
Gene: Lrrtm1
Gene name: leucine rich repeat transmembrane neuronal 1
Exons: 2
Source: RefSeq, a predicted model, not a curated record